Molecule: non-coding RNA, 327 nt
Filed under: Brugia malayi
Lineage: Eukaryota; Metazoa; Nematoda; Chromadorea; Rhabditida; Onchocercidae
Description: Eukaryotic large subunit ribosomal RNA
Rfam family: Eukaryotic large subunit ribosomal RNA
Source: Rfam by way of RNAcentral
CCAGCAUAUGCGCAAGUUAUUGGUUAGUAAACCUAAUUCAAAAGAAAAAAGCAUAAUGAAAAUAAAGAUUAUCUUUGUUAUAAUGAUGUGAUCCAUAUAUAUAUAUUUGUAUAUGUAAAGUAUAUCAUAUGGUGUAACAUAACCCCAUUCCUGUUGCAUGCAAUCGGGCGGAGGUAGCGUUAUAUUCUGGGACUCGAAAGUGAACUAUACCUAAGUAGGAUGAAGCCAGAGGAAACUCUGGUGAGGGUCCGAAGCGAUUUUGACGUGCAAAUCGAUCGUCUGACUUUGAUAUUGGGGGGACAAAUCGAACUAUCAUCUAGUAGCUGG